This 72-nucleotide transfer RNA is filed under the name Serendipita sp. 399. RNAcentral's name for it is "tRNA-Cys". It matches the Rfam family "tRNA". From Rfam's summary of the family: Transfer RNA (tRNA) molecules are approximately 80 nucleotides in length. Their secondary structure includes four short double-helical elements and three loops (D, anti-codon, and T loops). Further hydrogen bonds mediate the characteristic L-shaped molecular structure. tRNAs have two regions of fundamental functional importance: the anti-codon, which is responsible for specific mRNA codon recognition, and the 3' end, to which the tRNAs corresponding amino acid is attached (by aminoacyl-tRNA synthetases). tRNAs cope with the degeneracy of the genetic code in two manners: having more than one tRNA (with a specific anti-codon) for a particular amino acid; and 'wobble' base-pairing, i.e. permitting non-standard base-pairing at the 3rd anti-codon position. The record is from RNAcentral. Lineage: Eukaryota; Fungi; Basidiomycota; Agaricomycetes; Sebacinales; Serendipitaceae.
GGACGUUUGGUGCAAUGGUAGCACGAUCGGUUGCAACUCGUAGAUCCGGUAGUUCGAAUCCCGGAGCGUCCG